AAGCUCAUUAGGGAGACCAGACAGUAUAGACAGUUCCGUAAACCACUAUUAGGGAGACCAGACAGUAUAUGCAGUUGUAUACCAGCAUUAUGGAGACCAGACUGUAUAUACAGUUGUAUACCUGCAUUAAGGACCAGACAGUAUAGGUAGUUGUAUACCAGAAUUAGGGAGACUAGACAGUAUAUAUAGUUGUAUACCAGCAUUAGGGAGACCAAGUCAGUAUAUGCAGUUGUAUACCAGCA
This is a long non-coding RNA of Haliotis rubra (blacklip abalone), 242 nucleotides long. RefSeq lists it as uncharacterized. The transcript is spliced from 3 exons. NCBI's taxonomy places the organism in Eukaryota, Metazoa, Mollusca, Gastropoda, Lepetellida, Haliotidae. The record is from RefSeq and is a predicted model, not a curated record.